UAGAAGAUGGUGUACGGGGAGCACGAAGGGUUUUGAUCUCUUAUGUGCAGGUUCGAGUCCUGCUUUUCUAU
Molecule: transfer RNA, 71 nt
Filed under: Luetkenotyphlus brasiliensis
Lineage: Eukaryota; Metazoa; Chordata; Amphibia; Gymnophiona; Siphonopidae
Description: tRNA-Gln
Rfam family: tRNA
About the family: Transfer RNA (tRNA) molecules are approximately 80 nucleotides in length. Their secondary structure includes four short double-helical elements and three loops (D, anti-codon, and T loops). Further hydrogen bonds mediate the characteristic L-shaped molecular structure. tRNAs have two regions of fundamental functional importance: the anti-codon, which is responsible for specific mRNA codon recognition, and the 3' end, to which the tRNAs corresponding amino acid is attached (by aminoacyl-tRNA synthetases). tRNAs cope with the degeneracy of the genetic code in two manners: having more than one tRNA (with a specific anti-codon) for a particular amino acid; and 'wobble' base-pairing, i.e. permitting non-standard base-pairing at the 3rd anti-codon position.
Source: RNAcentral